RNAcentral lists this ribosomal RNA (431 nucleotides) under uncultured bacterium. RNAcentral describes it as "bacterial SSU rRNA". It matches the Rfam family "Bacterial small subunit ribosomal RNA", at positions 30 to 453 of the family's 1533-position model. The record is from RNAcentral.
AUUGAACGCUGGCGGCAGGCCUAACACAUGCAAGUCGAGCGGCAGCGGGAAAGUAGCUUGCUACUUUUGCCGGCGAGCGGCGGACGGGUGAGUAAUGCCUGGGAAAUUGCCCAGUCGAGGGGGAUAACAGUUGGAAACGACUGCUAAUACCGCAUACGCCCUACGGGGGAAAGCAGGGGACCUUCGGGCCUUGCGCGAUUGGAUAUGCCCAGGUGGGAUUAGCUUGUUGGUGAGGUAAUGGCUCACCAAGGCGACGAUCCCUAGCUGGUCUGAGAGGAUGAUCAGCCACACUGGAACUGAGACACGGUCCAGACUCCUACGGGAGGCAGCAGUGGGGAAUAUUGCACAAUGGGGGAAACCCUGAUGCAGCCAUGCCGCGUGUGUGAAGAAGGCCUUCGGUUGUAAAGGCACUUUCUAGCGAGGAGGAAAGG